CCAGCACCCCGAGUGGUCGGGACGAUUAUUGGGCCUAAAGCAUCCGUAGCCGGUUUUACAAGUCCUCCGUUAAAUCCAACUGCUUAACAGAUGGGCCGCGGAGGAUACUAUAAGACUAGGAGGCAGGAGAGGCAAGCGGUACUCAGUGGGUAGGGGUAAAAUCCGUUGAUCCAUUGAAGACCACCAGUGGCGAAGGCGGCUUGCCAGAAUGCGCUCGACGGUGAGGGAUGAAAGCUGGGGGAGCAAACCGGAUUAGAUACCCGGGUAGUCCCAGCUGUAAACGAUGCAGACUCGGUGAUGGACUAGCUUUAUGCUAGUCCAGUGCCGCAGGGAAGCCGUUAAGUCUGCCGCCUGGGUAGUACGGUCGCAAGACUGA
RNAcentral lists this ribosomal RNA (376 nucleotides) under uncultured organism. RNAcentral describes it as "bacterial SSU rRNA". It matches the Rfam family "Archaeal small subunit ribosomal RNA", at positions 476 to 852 of the family's 1478-position model. The record is from RNAcentral.